GAUGAACGCUAGCGGAAGGCUUAAUACAUGCAAGUCGAGCGGUAGGUGGCUUCGGCCAUUGAGAGCGGCGCACGGGUGAGUAACGCGUACAUGACCUGCCUGUCAGAAGGGGAUAGCCCUGGGAAACUGGGAUUAAUACCCUAUGGUAUUGAUAUUAUGAAUGAUAUCAAUUAAAGUUGAGGCGCUGACAGAUGGAUGUGCGUCUGAUUAGCUAGUUGGUAGGGUAACGGCCUACCAAGGCGACGAUCAGUAGGGGGCGUGAGAGCGUGGUCCCCCACACGGGUACUGAGACACGGACCCGACUCCUACGGGAGGCAGCAGUAAGGAUAUUGGUCAAUGCCCGCAAGGGUGAACCAGCCAUUCCGCGUGGAGGAUGAAGGCCCUAUGGGUUGUAAACUUCUUUUAGAUGGGAAGAAAUGUUAGAUGUAUCUGGUACUGACGGUACCAUCAGAAUAAGCACCGGCUAAACUCCGUGCCAGCAGCCGCGG
Molecule: ribosomal RNA, 488 nt
Filed under: uncultured bacterium
Lineage: Bacteria
Description: bacterial SSU rRNA
Rfam family: Bacterial small subunit ribosomal RNA
Source: RNAcentral